RNAcentral lists this ribosomal RNA (388 nucleotides) under uncultured bacterium. Its description in RNAcentral is "bacterial SSU rRNA". It matches the Rfam family "Bacterial small subunit ribosomal RNA", at positions 28 to 417 of the family's 1533-position model. The record is from RNAcentral.
GACGAACGCUGGCGGCGUGCUUAACACAUGCAAGUCGAGCGGUAAGGCCCUUUCAGGGGUACACGAGCGGCGAACGGGUGAGUAACACGUGGGUGACCUGCCCUCAGCUCUGGGAUAAGCCUGGGAAACCGGGUCUAAUACUGGAUAUGACUCCAUGACGCAUGUUGUGGGGUGGAAAGCCUUGUGCGGCUGAGGAUGGGCCCGCGGCCUAUCAGCUUGUUGGUGGGGUGAUGGCCUACCAAGGCGACGACGGGUAGCCGGCCUGAGAGGGCGACCGGCCACACUGGGACUGAGACACGGCCCAGACUCCUACGGGAGGCAGCAGUGGGGAAUCUUGCGCAAUGGGCGAAAGCCUGACGCAGCGACGCCGCGUGAGGGAUGACGGCCU